GUAGAGUAAAUAUUGCGCGUUAAGUGCUAUGAGAUGGGAUGUUGCUCAUAGACGAAGGUUUUUUAACCGCGGUGCAAUAUUGCGUCCGCUGC
RNAcentral lists this non-coding RNA (92 nucleotides) under human gut metagenome. RNAcentral describes it as "THF riboswitch". It matches the Rfam family "THF (Tetrahydrofolate) riboswitch aptamer". Rfam says of the family: THF riboswitch presents a pseudoknot that joins P1-P2 and the loop of P3 and two THF binding. The record is from RNAcentral.